Molecule: transfer RNA, 91 nt
Filed under: Dreissena polymorpha
Lineage: Eukaryota; Metazoa; Mollusca; Bivalvia; Myida; Dreissenidae
Rfam family: tRNA
About the family: Transfer RNA (tRNA) molecules are approximately 80 nucleotides in length. Their secondary structure includes four short double-helical elements and three loops (D, anti-codon, and T loops).
Source: Rfam by way of RNAcentral
CCCGCGAUAGCUCAGUUGGUAGAGCGGAGGACUGUAGUGAUUUAGAACAACUGACAUCCUUAGGUCACUGGUUCGAAUCCGGUUCGCGGGA